AUACGUAGGGGGCUAGCGUUAUCCGGAAUUACUGGGCGUAAAGGGUGCGUAGGUGGUUUCUUAAGUCAGAAGUGAAAGGCUACGGCUCAACCGUAGUAAGCUUUUGAAACUAAGAGACUUGAGUGCAGGAGAGGAGAGUAGAAUUCCCAGUGUAGCGGUGAAAUGCGUAGAUAUUAGGAGGAAUACCAGUUGCGAAGGCGGCUCCCGGAAAUGUAGGAAACGCUGGUGCACGAAAGUGUGGGGAGCAAACAGGGUUCAAUCCCCUGGUCCUCCACGCCGUAAACGAUGAGUACUAGCUGUCGGGGGUUACCCCCCUCGGUGGCGCAGCUAACGCAUUAAGUACUCCGCCUGGGAAGUACGCUCGCAAGAGUGCAACUCACAUGAAUUGACAGGG
RNAcentral lists this ribosomal RNA (394 nucleotides) under uncultured bacterium. RNAcentral describes it as "partial 16S ribosomal RNA". It matches the Rfam family "Bacterial small subunit ribosomal RNA", at positions 523 to 918 of the family's 1533-position model. The record is from RNAcentral.